Phyllopteryx taeniolatus (common seadragon) is the source of this 640-nucleotide long non-coding RNA. RefSeq lists it as uncharacterized. The record is from RefSeq and is a predicted model, not a curated record. NCBI's taxonomy places the organism in Eukaryota, Metazoa, Chordata, Actinopteri, Syngnathiformes, Syngnathidae. The transcript is spliced from 3 exons.
CGUGGUGGGCAGUUCUAGGAGCUUGGUUGAGAGCGAGAAAUGGUGAUCGACAAGUUAGAGCGAAAAGAACAUGGAUAAACACAGACAGCUUACUCUAACACAGAGUUUUGCUACCACCAAAAAGAAAGGGAUGACGCUACGACAAUGAACGGCAUGUAGUGCUGGUCGCGUCGAGCGUGUGAGAUCGCAACCAUAUCACGGUCCACUUCCCCUGAAACAUGGACUGCCAACGGACAUUCGGAAUCGGAUUACAAUGAGCCUGAUCCUGAUUCAUCCUUAUCUGGGAGCAGCAGCGCGUCCUCCCCUGAGCCCCCAGAAAGUCACGGAAGAGAAACUGCAGUUGGCGCAACCAGCAGCAGAUGCAGACCCACACUCGUUAGCAAGAGGAGGUGCAUCAAGCAAUGGUGGGCCUGUUCAUGGCUGGUCGUCUGCUGACUGGGAACCCACAAAAGUCCCGCAUGCACACACCCACAUAAGCACACACACAUGCGCACGCGCACACACACACACACACACACACACACACACACACACACACAUACAUACACAGCUUUACAUAUUUCAGAAUCAGAAUCAUCUUUAUUUGCCAAGUAUGUAAAAAACACAAGGAAUUUGUCUCCGCUUCUCGUAUGACAACAGA